This 468-nucleotide ribosomal RNA is filed under the name uncultured bacterium. RNAcentral's name for it is "partial 16S ribosomal RNA". It matches the Rfam family "Bacterial small subunit ribosomal RNA", at positions 28 to 507 of the family's 1533-position model. The record is from RNAcentral.
GACGAACGCUGGCGGCGUGCUUAACACAUGCAAGUCGAACGGAAAGGCCCUGCUUUUGUGGGGUGCUCGAGUGGCGAACGGGUGAGUAACACGUGAGUAACCUGCCCUUGACUUUGGGAUAACUUCAGGAAACUGGGGCUAAUACCGGAUAGGAGCUCCUGCUGCAUGGUGGUGGUUGGAAAGUUUCGGCGGUUGGGGAUGGACUCGCGGCUUAUCAGCUUGUUGGUGGGGUAGUGGCUUACCAAGGCUUUGACGGGUAGCCGGCCUGAGAGGGUGACCGGCCACAUUGGGACUGAGAUUCGGCCCAGACUCCUACGGGAGGCAGCAGUGGGGAAUAUUGCACAAUGGGCGGAAGCCUGAUGCAGCAACGCCGCGUGCGGGAUGACGGCCUUCGGGUUGUAAACCGCUUUCGCCUGUGACGAAGCGUGAGUGACGGUAAUGGGUAAAGAAGCACCGGCUAACUACGUG